GUGGGGAAUAUUGGACAAUGGGCGAAAGCCUGAUCCAGCCAUGCCGCGUGUGUGAAGAAGGUCUUCGGAUUGUAAAGCACUUUAAGUUGGGAGGAAGGGCAGUAAGCUAAUACCUUGCUGUUUUGACGUUACCGACAGAAUAAGCACCGGCUAACUUCGUGCCAGCAGCCGCGGUAAUACGAAGGGUGCAAGCGUUAAUCGGAAUUACUGGGCGUAAAGCGCGCGUAGGUGGUUUUGUAAGUUGGAGGUGAAAUCCCCGGGCUCAACCGGGGAACUGCCUCCAAAACUGCAUGACUAGAGUACGGUAGAGGGUAGUGGAAUUUCCUGGGUAGCGGUGAAAUGCGUAGAUAUAGGAAGGAACACCAGUGGCGAAGGCGACUACCUGGACUGAUACUGACACUGAGGUGCGAAAGCGUGGGGAGCAAACAGGAUUAGAUACCCGGGUAGUCC
This 450-nucleotide ribosomal RNA is filed under the name uncultured bacterium. Its description in RNAcentral is "partial 16S ribosomal RNA". It matches the Rfam family "Bacterial small subunit ribosomal RNA", at positions 354 to 796 of the family's 1533-position model. The record is from RNAcentral.